Molecule: ribosomal RNA, 406 nt
Filed under: uncultured bacterium
Lineage: Bacteria
Description: partial 16S ribosomal RNA
Rfam family: Bacterial small subunit ribosomal RNA
Source: RNAcentral
AUUGAACGCUGGCGGCAGGCCUAACACCUGCAAGUCGAACGAGGGGCGGACGGGUGAGUAAUGUCUGGGAAACUGCCUGAUGGAGGGGGAUAACUACUGGAAACGGUAGCUAAUACCGCAUACCAUCGGAUGUGCCCAGAUGGGCUUAGCUAGUAGGUGGGGUAACGGCUCACCUAGGCGACGAUCCCUAGCUGGUCUGAGAGGAUGACAAGCCACCCUGGAAAUGAGACAAGGUCUGGACUCCUACGGGAGGAAGCAGUGGGGAAUAUCGCACAAUGGGCGCAAGCCUGAAGAAGCCAUGCCGCGUGUAUGAAGAAGGCCGUCGGGUUGUAAAGUAUUUUCAGCGGGGAGGCGUUACCCGCAGAAGAAGCACCGGCUAACUCCGUGCCAGCAGCCGCGGUAAUAC